Long non-coding RNA from Aedes albopictus (Asian tiger mosquito), 8931 nucleotides. RefSeq lists it as uncharacterized. NCBI's taxonomy places the organism in Eukaryota, Metazoa, Arthropoda, Insecta, Diptera, Culicidae. The record is from RefSeq and is a predicted model, not a curated record. The transcript is spliced from 2 exons.
CGUGGGAGGAAUCUUUGAAGCAUUUCUUGGAACAAACCCUAAAACAAUCACUAUCGGAACCCUGCCCCUGCCCCCCUUUGGCUACGCCCAUGGUACCAAACAUGCAAAAAAGGGGGUCCAGAUCCAGCGAGAACGUAAUAUAACGAGAAAGACUAUUUCAUAGACCAACUAUUCCUAACAUUACUCAAUUGUUCUACCGCAGCUAUCUCAAGACAAAGCCCAUCCAAUCCAACCUCUGGUGGUGACUCGUUCGUCUCCAACUUGUUUCGAUAACCGAGCCGGAGGAGAGGUCAACGACACUUAUCUACCACGCCAGACGCAACGAAACCCAUAAGCAACAUACAAAAAAGUUAAAGUUACUACUACUCGCUUCGUCUCGUCGUUGCAGUCAGUCAGCGCUGGCUGACCAGGUUCGUCGUCGUCGUUGUUUGUCGUUUCUCUUUCGGAGAUUGGACCCCGGCCGGCUGUCGUUGCGACGACGGGUGCAGCCGCAGAAUGACUCACGUUUGUUCUGAAAACGAUUUACCUUCACUUUUCGAUUUCUUAGUUUGGUUCUUCUUUGGUCGAAGAUGUCUGACUGACUUACGUACGUGAGGUUGCUUAUCUAUCUAUCUAUCUAUCUGUCUGUUUUGUUGGUUUUGUUACAUCGUCGUCAUUAAACAAACGACCGCGGCAUCGAAUACACCUCCGAUCGAUGGUGCACCAAUCCAUUUGUUUAUCUUCCAAAUGGUUGGCGUUGGGUCAGAGAAGACCAAGUAGCGAAAUUGAUAAAAAGAAGUAAAUCACCGAUAAAGAAAAACCCGAUUUAUUCCACCUAUGGUGAACAGAACCCUUCUUACACUUAUUAGAAUUAUUGUUGUAUUUUUCGUAUUUAACAUAUUUAUUUUGUGUGAUUGUGCCUGUAGUAGUCCUUAGUGUAAGUUAAAUCAAUGUAGGUAUUGACUAAGAUGAAUGACAAUGACCACCGAACUACUGAUCAUUCUGGAAUAAACUUUGGAGAAGAUAACACCGUUGUUUGAUUGUGUCUCACAGUGCCUUUUGGUCAUUCUAGAAAAUAUUGUGGAUUUGACAUCUAGUGGAUUGGUUUCCAAAAUAGCAUCAUGGACCAUGGACUAAACUGCCAGAAAUGCCAGGCAUCUCCUAGAAUCUUGUAUAGAAUUCUUAAAAAAUAGUUCAUAUAUUCUGGAGUAUUGUAUAUUUCGUUAACUGCCAAAAGAUCUUGAAUCGAUUGACAAAAGGAUAAGAAAAUCAUCGAGAUACACUUUGUCUAAUAUCUCUUAAUAAGUCGAUUAAAUUAGCUACGAAGUAGUAUGGUAGCUUUUAUUUGGUGCUAAGAGAACCAAAAUCGGUUGACAGAUGGCAAAGAUAUUUAAUAUGAUACACUUUGUCAAAAAUCUCAAAAAAGACAUUUGCUCAGUUCGUCGAGCUGAGUUGAUUGGAAUAUGAAACUCGGCCCUCCUGUCUGUUUUACACAAAUCAGCGUGGUGAUGAUUUCCAAGUGGAGUUCCUGAAUGAAUCCUAGGAUAAGCUCAAAACAAUUAUUGUUGGAAAAAACCCUCGAGACAUUUCAGAGGUUUCUGGAGAAAAAAAAACAUAACCUCAGGAUAUUCCUGAAAGAAUCGCAUGACGAAUUUCUAAAGGCAUUCCUUUGCAAAAGCUGCAGGGGGUUUGCUCAAAGGAAUACAUGGAUGGAAUAAAUCUGUGGAUGAACUCCUAGAGGAUCUCUUGGAGAAAAUUGAGAAAACAUUUCUGGAUGACUUCUUGGAGAAUUUUCUGCCUCAUGUAUGCAUCUCAGUAAAAUUAUCUUUGAGAAUUCCAAUACGAACCACUGCAGUAAUUCCCCAAGAAUUUUUUUGUAGUAAUUUAAAAAAACCUUCAUUGAUUCCUUGAAGCAUCCUUGCAAAAAAUCUUGGGUGCAUUCCAGCAAAAGAUGAUGGAAUCAUUUUUGAAAUUUCUGAAGGAGUCCCUGGAUAAUAUUUGGAAGAUAUACCGAGAGGAAUAUGUGAAGGAAUCACAAGAGCAAUUCCUGGAGUACUCCCUGGAAGAAUCCCAGGAGUAAUUCCUAGAAAAAAUCCCUGGAGGAAUUCCAAGAGAAUUCCCUAGAGGAAUCUUUGGCGAUUUUCCUGAGAAUUUUUCUGGCGGAAUCCUUGGACGAAUUCCUGCAGGAAUCCCGAAAGAAAUUCCUGGACGAAAUCCUAAAAGAAUCCCUGGAGGAAUUUCUGGAGGAAUCCGUAGUAGAAUUCCAGGAAGAAUCACUGGAGGAAUCCAUAGAAGAAUUUCUGAAGGAAUCCCUGAAAGAAUUCCUGGAGAAACUCAUGGAUGAACUGCUGCAGAAAUCCCUAGAACAAUUCUGGGAGGAAUUUCUAAAAAAAUCUGAAAAUAUCCCUUGAGAAAUUCCAGGAGGAAUACCUGCAGGAAUACCUGGAGGAUUGCAUGAAGAAAUCCUUGAAGGAGUCCCUGGAGGAUUCCUUGGAGGAAUUUAGACGAAUCUUUGGAAGAAUUCCUGAAGGGAUCUCCUGGAGAAAAAAUCUUGGAUCAUUUCCUAGAGGAAUUUAUGUAGGAAUUCCUGGGUGAAUUCUUGGAGGAUUCCCUAUAGGAAUUCUUGGAUGUAUCCCGCCUAGAGUUGUUUCUAAAGGAAUCCAUGGUGGAAUUCCAAGAAGAACGCCUGGGGAAAUUCCUGGAUACAUACUUGAAGGAAUCUCUGGAAGAGUUCUCAGAGAAUUCCAUAGUUGUACUCCUGCAGAAAUCCCUAGAUAAAUUCUUGGAGAAAUCCCUGAUGAAAUCCCUGGAGAAACUCUUGGAAGAAUUCCUGGGAAAAUGUCUGGAGGAAUGCCUGGAUGAAUUGCACGAGGAAUACCUGAAGGAAUUUUUAAAGCAAUUUCUGGACAAAUUCCUGGACGAAUUUCUGAAGGCAUUCAUGAAUGAUUUUCUGGAAAAAAAAAGCCUGGAGGAAAGCCUGGACAGAGUUCUAGAGGCAUUGUAGGAGGAAUUCCUGGAGGAAUCUCUAGAAAAAUGUAUGGAUUAAUCCCUGGAGGAAUCCGUGGUUGAUUUCAAGGAGCAAUUCCUGGAAAAAUUCCUGAAGGACUCCCUGGAUGAAUUCGUAAAAAAAAUCCCUAGAGGAAUUUUCGGAGGAUUCCCUGGGUAAAUUUAAGAAGAAAUCUCUUGAGAAAUUGCUGGACGAAUUCCUGGAAGAAUGUAUGAAGGCAUCCCUGGAGUAUUUCACGAAGAAAUUCCUGAGGGAAUUCCUGGAUAAAACCCUAGAGAAAUUCAUUCGCAGGUGGCCAACCGACAACCGUGGUGGAAUCCCAGAAGGAAUCGCCAAAGAAAAUCCUAAAAAAAACUCCUGGUCGAAUUCCUGAAUGAAUUCGUAGAAAAUUCCGUAGAAAAAUUUUGGGAGGAAUCUCUAGAGAAAUUUGUUAAGAAACGGCUCGAGGAAUUCCUUGAAAAAUUUCUAGAGAAAUGCCUGGACGAAUUCCUUGAGAAAUUUAAUAAGGAAUCCCUGGAGGAUUCCCUGUAGAUAUUUCUGUAGGAAUUCCUGCAGUUUCCUGGAGCAAUUCCUAGAGGAGGUUUCUGCAGGAGUUCUUGAAGGAGUUGUGAGUGAAUUCCUGGAUGAAAUCCUGAUUAUAUGCCUGAAGGAAUCCCUGAACUAAUUCUGGAGAAACUCCUGGAGGAAUUCCUGGAAGAUUUCCUGGAGCAAUUCCUGAUGUAAUACCUGGAGGAAUUUUUGGAGGAAUUCCUGAAGGAAUCCCUGGAGAAUCUAUUGGAAAAUUUCCUGACGGAAUGCCAGGAGGAAUCCCAAGCGGAAUCCCUAGAGCAAUUUCUGGAAAAAAAAACUCUGAUGGAAAGUCUGGAGGAAUUCAACUAGAGGAAUGCCACGAGGAAGUUCUGCAGUAAUUCCUGGAGAAAUUCUAGGAUAAAUCCCUGGAGGACUCCAUGAAGGAAAUACUGUAAGAUUCCUUGAAGAAUCACUGAAGCAAUUCCAGCAGGAAUCCCUGGAAGAAUUCCUGGAGAAGUUCGUGGAGUAGUUGCUGGAAGUAUGUCUAGGGGAAUUCCUGGAGGAAUCCCUGUAGGAAUUUUCAAAGGAAUCUGUGGAGGUAUUUUCGGAGGAAUCUCUUCAGGAAUUCCUGAAAAGUUCUUGAGAGGAUUUUCUAGGAUAAUUUCUUGGAGGUAUCCCAGAAAGAAUUCCUGAAAAAAUCGCAGGAGGAAUUCCUGAAGAAAUCGUAAAAGGAAGAACUAAAGAAAUCGAAGGAGUUCUUUUCAAAAAACAUGGAGGAAUCUCAAACAGAGUUCGUUUAGGAACUUCUGGAAGAAUUCCUGUAGCAAUUCUUGAAGGAAUCACUGGAGGAAUUCCGGAAGGUCCCCAGGAGGAAUUCCGGUAGGAAUCUCAAGAAGAUGUUCCUAAGAGAAUCUCUAAACAAUUCCUUGAUAAAUUCAUGAGGAAUUCCUGAAAGAACUCCAGGAAGAAAUCCUGAAGAUAUCCCAAAAAGAGUUACUGAAGGAAUCCUUGGAGCAAUUAAAAAAUACCUGGAACUGUUCCUGAAAGAAUCCCUAACGAAAUUCCCGAGAGAAUCCUUGGAGGAUUUCCUGGAGGAAUUCUUGGAGGAAUAACCGGAAGAAUUUCUGAAGAAACCCCAGGAGGAAUCACGGAAACAAUCUCAUGAGAAAUUCCUCAGGAAAUCCAAGGAUGGGGUUUCAAACAAAUUCCUGGAGACAUUCUGCAGGAAUCUCUGGAAAAAUUCUGAAGAAAUCCGUGUCUGUAGUAAUUUUUAGACGAAUUAUUGAAGGAAUCCUUUGAUGGACUUCUGAAGGACUUCUAGAUUGAGCUCCUCGGAGCGAUCAAUGGCGCUUAAGUUGGAACAAUGGCUUGUUAGCCAGGACGCAGUGUAUAUGCCUGUGCCCGAUCCCUGAAGCAAAACGGCCUAUGACGUGACAAAAUUUCUUAGCUACGUCACUCCUAACGUUGGUGUUUAAAUCACUUACACUCACACCAACACAUCUACAUGACCUGCUCAAAUACACUUACACAAUCUGAAUUUCACGUUUAAAUAUUUCACUCCACUUAAGUUGACUAGUAUACACUCUAGUAGGAUUUGGAAAAUACUUCGGAACCGUAAUAAAAUAAUUGUUAUUACUUGGGUUACAAUAAGUUAUCGAAACUUGCCAAAAUUUCGGAAAGGAUCUUGUCUCCGUUAUUGAUAAACUUAUAUUCUAUUUUUUAAACUUAUUUCAAAAAAGUGUUCCGCAAGGAAAAAGGUCUGAAAACCCCAUGCACUGGGUCAUACCGUGGCGUCCGUCGGUACUGUAUGAACGAAAACUUUUAGGCAAAGUUCACUAGUCGUUUCGAAAUUUCGGCUGCUAGAGCGAUCUUCAGGUAUAACAUUGAAAGUCGGGUAAGCCCAGUCACUUAUUCCAGUCUGGUUUAGCACCGAACAAAUGGAGUGCGUUGUUUGCCCGGCAUUUAUUGGUUGGCUCUGUAUCACUGACCUUUGUUGGAGAGUGAGUCUAUUUUGAGCGGCGUUGGGCGUAGAUUUAUUUUCGGAAUGUGUAACGUGAAUUUUAUUUUAUAGUAAGAAAUAAAACAUUCAAACUGAUUGAACUCAACUCCGUCUGCCCAUUCUUAAAGUAAAAUCAUCAUUAUUUGGGAUUUAUCCAGACUGGAAAAAGAUCCUUGCGAUUUGUCAUCUGCCAUGCUUCGAUUUUCAGGACCAUUCAAUCGAUGACUAUAAAAUCUUUCCUCCUUCCUACCUUGUACCACCCUAUUACCCCUUCGUUGCUACCACCCAACCCAUGUAGCAUCAUCGUCGGCUCUACAGGUUGAUUCAGUUCAGUCCAGUCAACAAACGGUAGCCGUCUGGCUGUCGUGGCUGGUCAGACAGGAGGACAGUCGAACGAAAAUACGCUGCAACUGGCAAGAAUGAUAGUUUGGCUGUGAUGGCAAACGCGAAAGAGUCGCGUGGUAGGGUCAAUGCAGCAGUAUGGCAUCAGCCAUUCUGAAGUCAGAAUUUUGCACGUAGGCAUUAUCAUUUGCAGUUGGAUUUGUCGAUGUUACCGGGUCUCGGGUUUUCUCUCGACUUCUGUAGGUAGACGUUCAUUGGUUGAAUUUUGGAGGCGCGAUUCAGUGGAUGGAUAAUUAAAACUGUACAUCAAUAAUGGCUCAAUAAUUGAAGUCGGUCUUUUGCCGAGGCACCAUUUAAGUCUUCACCGCAAAAUAUGUAUAAUUCUCCAUUCGAAUUAAAAAUCAUUGCAAUUUGCAAAGCGGAGAACCGGAAAUUGAAUUGAAUGCCGCUUUUCUGCGUGUUCUUCAAAUGAUUAUUGACCUCAUUAUGGCUGUUUUCCACCCGUUUCGCUAGCCUUAGAUGUAGGUGCAUGCAGAAAAGAUUAUCGAGUACUGAUCUGGUGUUCGUUGGAGAUUGGCAGUUUCAUUUGAUUAUUUACCAAAUGAACGCUUGAUUGUAAUAAAUUUUUCUUGCUAUAGGACAGAUCGGUGAAGUACUAGAUUUGUAGUAAUGAGCUGAAUUUUAGUAUGGUGAGAAGGUCAAUUAUUCGUUUCUGCAAUGAAAUGGUGCAAAAAGCGUGGGUAUUAUGAUUCCUUGCCUAAUUUGAUGCUAAUUGAGCAAAACUUUAGGCAACAGUGUUGUUGUUUUUUCCUUUUCUUGCAACAUAAACAACAUAGUUAUCCAAAGUUUUGCUCAAACAGCAUCAAAUUAGGCAAGGAAUCAUAAUACCCACGCUUUUUGCACCAUUUCAUUGCAGAAACGGAGAAUUGACCUUCUCACCAUACUAAAAUUCAGCUCAUUACUACAAAUCUAGUACUACACCGAACGUGCCACAUUAUGCGUGCUCCUCACUCUUAACCUAAACCUUAAAAAUGCUUUAUUUUUAUAUAUGAGGGUUUAUUGAAUCCGAUGAAUGCGCCUUAAAGUAUCCAAUUUUAUUUAAAAAAAUUAUGUGAUAGACUCAUUCUACCGUGACGUUACAACGUUUUGACGCCUUUUCGGUCAGAUGUUCCAAUAAAACUCAUAAAUACGGCCAUAAACCCCAAAUAUUUUAACAUAUUUGGAUUCCUUUUAAAUUUACAGUAAAUAUGAUCAGUUGAACAAAUAGUUUUCAUUGAAAAAGCUGGUUUAAAAUGGGAAUGAAUAGCCCCAACUAACAUUUUCAGGGCUUUAAGCUUCAGUUAUUUGCUUUCUGUUGUGUAACAAUCGAGUUGAAGCAAUCAACGCUGAAUAAAGCCAACCUGUCAAGUAUAAACCAUAAGCUAAUACACGGCUGCAAAACAAGCACCAUACAGCUACCAAACCAUGUUUUCAGAAAUCAAUCACUUGUCACUGGGUUUGCCUUUACUGCACUCUAUUCCAACUCCGGGAGAUUUCCCGGAAGAUGUGAAAACAAAUCGAAUAGGAGUCCUCAGUAACAAAAUAGCUGCUACUAUACAGUACAAUUCGUAAUACUGAAAUAUCCACAAACCAGCAGCGCUUCCCGCAUAGCAAAAUACAGUUUGCCAAAACAUCCAAACAGUAAGCGCCUCCCAACUGGUAAUGUUAAAGUAUCACAAAUUGUUGCCUCUGUGUUGAACAAUAUGAAGCCUAACGCUUUAUAUUAUAAAAAACGGCUCACGAAGUUCAUACCAGAUUGUAACACUAUGUUAUACUGUUCAGUUUAUGUAAACUGAUAUGGAUACAUAAACUUGUGAUAAAUGGUUGAAUUAAAGCCUUACUCUAUGUCAGAAGGUUGGUUUGAAUAUUUGCAGCUAAUACUUACACACGCUCGUUCCACUGUGUGGAACAAUGUUUCAACAAUUUGUCAAACUGUUGCAUAUAGUUGUAUUUGUUUUGGAUUCAAUAUUGACCGAAAAAAAAAAUUAGAGGCAGUUUAGUUUUUCUUGUGCACUUUGUUGUCAUGGUGGUUUGUUCUCGCGUGCUAAAUGCUCAAACUUUCGCUAACGAACGCCGAAAAAAAACUGAUUUUCCGUUCGGCAAUCAGGAACGUUAAUUUUGACGCUCUUCGCUCACACAUCGCAGCGGUGGAACCCGAUCGGAGCUGUUUUUAUUUACCACCGUCCACCAGCGCAACGGAGUUCCAUCAACCCACAAGCAGAUUCAGCCGAUCCAGCAUGAUCAAAAAAUCUCCCCGCAGAUGUCCCACACCCGGUUCAUUAGGUACACCAAAUGGAAUGGUAUCGCGGUCCGGAUUGCGACCUAGCAGCGAUGGUUAUGAUGAACAGGCGGUUUCCGGAGUUUUCAACUAGAGUGUGCAAGCAUUCACAGCAGUAUCUCCCUCGGUUAGGAUCAACAGCUUAAGGAGAUCCGACUAAUUAAAGUGUACCCCAACACCCACGGCAUUGAGACAUCACCGCAAGACAAUAAUGAUUGAUGGCAUGGCAGUUAUCAAUCGCAUUUUCAGUGAAACGACACUGGGCACGUACGGAUCAGUUCCUAUGCCAGGUCCAGUUUAUUCCAUCAGUUACUGGUCGUCGGAUGGGAAGAUGUGAAAGCAAAGUGAGAAGCAUUUGCCGAUAAUUAAAUAUGCCCGGCCAUCUGUCCUGCUGUGAUCCUGCGAUAGGUGGAAAGGAUUACCGCCACCGAAUAUCCGCCUCCUUGGAAAAUUAAGAAACAAAACAUGCAAGAAGAAAGAUCUAGUGUAAGGGUACAAAAAUAGGAUCUCUUUCUUAGUUCCGGAGACAAAUUUACAGUCGGAGGCACACACUGCCGUGUGCAGCAUAGUUUCCCAUUCUAAUAUGGAUUCUCAUAUAUGAACAUGGGACAACUAUGCUGCUCACGACAGCACAGUGGUCCAACAUCCUACGUACUUGGUUGACUAUCUGAACCAAAAGACCGCGUGAGGAGCGAUAAUUGCACUUUCUUUUAAAUCUAUGCUUGAAAGCUUUUGUAACUGAAAUUCGAGAAAUAAAUAACUAAAGUUUGGUAGAUA